UGGUGGAGUGAUUUGUCUGGUUAAUUCCGUUAACGAACGAGACCUCGACCUGCUAAAUAGUUUGAUCAAGACUUCUGUCUUGAUUACUAACUUCUUAGAGGGACUAUUGGUGCGUAGCCAGUGGAAGUUCGAGGCAAUAACA
Molecule: ribosomal RNA, 142 nt
Filed under: uncultured eukaryote
Lineage: Eukaryota
Description: partial 18S ribosomal RNA
Rfam family: Eukaryotic small subunit ribosomal RNA
Source: RNAcentral